GAUGAACGCUGGCUGCGUGCCUAAUACAUGCAAGUCGAGCGAACGGACGAGAAGCUUGCUUUUCUGAUGUUAGCGGCGGACGGGUGAGUAACACGUGGAUAACCUACCUAUAAGACUGGGAUAACUUCGGGAAACCGGAGCUAAUACCGGAUAAUAUUUUGAACCGCAUGGUUCAAAAGUGAAAGACGGUCUUGCUGUCACUUAUAGAUGGAUCCGCGCUGCAUUAGCUAGUUGGUAAGGUAACGGCUUACCAAGGCAACGAUGCAUAGCCGACCUGAGAGGGUGAUCGGCCACACUGGAACUGAGACACGGUCCAGACUCCUACGGGAGGCAGCAGUAGGGAAUCUGCCGCAAUGGGCGAAAGCCUGACGGAGCAACGCCGCGUGAGUGAUGAAGGUCUUCGGAUCGUAAAACUCUGUUAUUAGGGAAGAACAUAUGUGUAAGUAACUGUGCACAUCGUGACGGUACCUAAUCAGAAAGCCACGGCUAACUACGUG
This 497-nucleotide ribosomal RNA is filed under the name uncultured bacterium. RNAcentral describes it as "partial 16S ribosomal RNA". It matches the Rfam family "Bacterial small subunit ribosomal RNA", at positions 28 to 507 of the family's 1533-position model. The record is from RNAcentral.